GACGAACGCUGGCGGCGUGCUUAACACAUGCAAGUCGAACGGAAAGGCCCUGCUUUUGUGGGGUGCUCGAGUGGCGAACGGGUGAGUAACACGCGAGUAACCUGCCCUUGACUUUGGGAUAAAUUCAGGAAACUGGGGCUAAUACCGGAUAGGAGCUCCUGCUGCAUGGUGGGGGUUGGAAAGUUUCGGCGGUUGGGGAUGGACUCGCGGCUUAUCAGCUUGUUGGUGGGGUAGUGGCUUACCAAGGCUUUGACGGGUAGCCGGCCUGAGAGGGUGACCGGCCACAUUGGGACUGAGAUACGGCCCAGACUCCUACGGGAGGCAGCAGUGGGGAAUAUUGCACAAUGGGCGGAAGCCUGAUGCAGCAACGCCGCGUGCGGGAUGACGGCCUUCGGGUUGUAAACCGCUUUCGCCUGUGACGAAGCGUGAGUGACGGUAAUGGGUAAAGAAGCACCGGCUAACUACGUG
RNAcentral lists this ribosomal RNA (468 nucleotides) under uncultured bacterium. RNAcentral's name for it is "partial 16S ribosomal RNA". It matches the Rfam family "Bacterial small subunit ribosomal RNA", at positions 28 to 507 of the family's 1533-position model. The record is from RNAcentral.